Molecule: ribosomal RNA, 253 nt
Filed under: uncultured bacterium
Lineage: Bacteria
Description: partial 16S ribosomal RNA
Rfam family: Bacterial small subunit ribosomal RNA
Source: RNAcentral
UACGUAGGGUCCGAGCGUUGUCCGGAAUUAUUGGGCGUAAAGGGCUCGUAGGCGGUUCGUCACGUCGGGAGUGAAAACUCGGAGCUUAACUCCGAGCCUGCUUCCGAUACGGGCAGACUAGAGGUAGGCAGGGGAGAGCGGAACUCUUGGUGUAGCGGUGGAAUGCGCAGAUAUCAGGAAGAACACCGGUGGCGAAGGCGGCUCUCUGGGCCUUACCUGACGCUGAGGAGCGAAAGCGUGGGGAGCGAACAGG